UUGAUUUGAGUGGUUUGAGUGGACUAGGGAGUGAGGAUGGGGUAUGACGUAAAAGAUUACGACGAUUUUGUGUCAUCUAGCGACGCACUUUUGUUGUUUCAGGGAUUGUUGGAUCAGCAGUUUCAGCAGCUUCAGAUGCUACAAGAUGGGAGCACCGCUGGCUUCGUGGCAGAGGUGGUGACCUUGUUCUGCGAGGAUUCAGAGAGGAUACUUACAGAGCUGACCAAAUUAAUGUAUUGCCCAUAUGUUUGUUUCAUGUCUGUUUGGAUAUAGAUUUCGAGCUCUUUUUGCUGAUUUACUUGAUUCUGAAAUGGUGCCGUGUGCUUAUUGUGCAGGGAUCAAGCUGUUGUUGAUUACUCAAAGGUGGAUGCUUACGUUCACCAACUCAAAGGAAGCAGCUCUAGGUUAUUGUCCUUUUCCUUUUUUUAUUUUGUCUUUCAUAUUUCUGUUUUUUUAUUAUGGAUUCUUUAAUGACAGGAUUGACAUUAUUUCCCACCUUGCUAUAUGCAAAAGAUUUUUUGAGACAAUCAUUUAGCUGCUCCUGAUAUGCUAUAACCCUUCUCCUGAUAUCCAUUUCUGACUCUCUUUUAGUUUUAAUAAUUGCCGAAAUCAUUGAAUCCUUAGCUUUAACUGGAUGUGCCAUUCUAACCUUAAAACUUAUUUAAGGUAAAUAUUAUUUUGUGGUUUUAAAUUUCUCAAAUUUGUUUUUAUAAUCUUUUAGGUGUUGUCUUGACUGGUUAUUCCCAUGUUUGAAUUUUUAAAUAUUUUAUUCGUGUGACUGGACUAGGAAACCCUCUCUCUCUCUCUCUCNNNNNNNNNNNNNNNNNNNNCUCUCUCUCUCUCUCUCGCAUGCGCUUGUUUACUUGCUCGCUUUCUUUUCCCCUCACAACCACAGGUAGAGUUGGUCUGCUUGAACAUCACCCUGAAUACUCAUCCCUGCACCUGCAUCCUUAUUAAAAGUUUCAUGGCUAGAGGGUUGCGAAGGCAGCCUCAAAAAGGCUUUCAUGUUAUAUAUAAUACGAUAUAGAAAAAGCAUACAAAUUUCACCUAAAGGUUACUAAAGUCCGACAUGUGCACUGCAUGUGAGGUGAAACUAACACUGUAGGAGAAAAAAAUUUGGUGGUUGCGAUGGAUUGGUGUCCACGCCGAGUCUUCCAAACAAGGCUGGCUUCACAUAGAGCAGUCUUGCAAUGAGGGCCCAUACCUGACAAAUUGAGAAGUUAAUAAAAAUACUAAGGAAAAAAAAAGGCAAGAGUGAGAAGGCAUAAGGCUUCCACAUGCAUGCUGGAAUCUGGGCUUUCCAAUCAAAUAUAGAGAUUCUUGACUUUAGCAAUCUAGAUACUAUGGUGGUUAUUAUGCAUGAAUACCCCAACCAGGACUUACUGACCGCCAUCCACUGAAUGCUGUUGUAAGGUUGUGACAAGCACAUGCCAAUGUUGAAACAGCAUUCUGUUCAUGUUCAGAUCAUCCUGGAAAACAUUUACUUAAUUUAAUUAGCAUAUAGAGCAGGUUUAACAUCAUACUUAGUGGGUAUAAAUUGUAUUUAUCUGAUAUCUCCUUCUGAGUUCUUAUUUUGUGCUUCAUUCUAUAUUGAGGACUUUGUCUAACAUGUUUCUAAGUGGGGUCCCUAUUUUGCAGCGUGGGUGCUCAGAACGUGAAACUGGCCUGCAUUCAGUUCCGACAAUUCUGUGAGGAGAAUAACAAGGAAGGGUCGGUAUUAGCAUAUUUUCAGUUGUGUGAAACUAAAAUCACAGAUAAUUUACUUUAUUAUUCUCAAACUCAUCAUGUUAAACUAAUUCUAGUUUUAAACACAACUUACUGGAUUUUCUUUUUCUAUUUUUUUGCAACUUAUGUGAUAUUUUAUUAGUUGUCUGUCCUGCCUUUUUACAUUUCACUACAGCUGAAACUCACCAAUUUGCAGAAUCUACAAUUUUGUCAACUUUUCUUUGCACGUGCCUGGUAAAUGUAUUCUGUAAAAUUUGUUGAAUGAUGUAUAAUUUAGGAUGGCUCCAUGCAUCUUCUCUUUCUCAUUUUUUAGCAUAAGAUCUAUUUUCUCAAAAUUUCUUCAGCAUAGUAUUUAUGAAAGCUUUAUUAAAAUCAUGAGUGAUUCCUCGGGACAGAAAACAGUUAAGUUUUAUAGACAAAAUUUACUAUCAAAGAAUAGUGUGCUGUAUUACACAAAACGAAAUUCUUAUCAGAUCAUCCUGCAUUGCUACUUGAACACAUGGAAAUACCAGUGAUGUAGAACGGUCUACAAGGGGAACAUACUAUUUGAAAAAGUGGCCCAAUAAAAAGAAAAAAAAAGGGUCUAGCCACCUUAGGUGCACAGUCAACCUAAAGUCAACCUGUGCCGAAGUGAUUGAUUGCUAUAGUCACAUCAUAAACAUAAUUUUUCCUUAGAAAAAAAAAUCAUCUGGCAUAGAUAGAUAUGCUGAUGGGACCAGACUAGUGCUGAGGAUAUCUGUCUUUUUUGCCUUCAUAUGUCACACGUCAUAGGAGAGGUAGCAGCCAGACUUGGGACCUUCUGAUAACAAGGAUUAAAAUUGCUGGAAAUUUCAGUUUGCACCUAAGUUUUGAUUAAAGUUGAAGUGUGAAAGAUGGACUUUCAAAGAAUGUGGUACCAAGGAUAUGAAACUAGAAAGUUUGAGAGUACUUCCUUACCAAAUUCAAAUUGGAAUCCGCAAUAUACUAUUAUAAUGGGAACUCUGAUAUGUGUGACUCCAAGUUUCACUCUAUUUUGUUUUCCUUUUCCUCUGUCUUUGAAUUUUAUCUUGAUUAUCUGACCCCAACACAGGGCACAUAGUGGAGGUGAUACCUGCAACUCCAUGCACUGUUCUCAUUCUUUUGCAUGAGACAGCACUUUUUGGCAUAUUCUUUUUUUUUCCCUUUUUUUAUUUUCUUAUUUCUAGCCCCUUUUGGUGGACUAACGUUAAGAUAAACAAAUGAUUUGAAGAGGCUCUGGAACAGCUGACUUGUGCAGCAGGGGUUAAAUCUCAAUAGAGGGCUAGUUAGCUGUCGGUAGAAUAAAGUUUGAGGAUUGAUAUUUGAAGGAAAAGAGGAAAAUGCAACACAUCCACCUAGCCAAAGUACAAAGAAAGUGGUCCACAAGGAGGUAGCACAUGCAUCUGAUGCUGAUCUAUGAAGAGAGGUAGUUGGAUAGGUUUCUUAAAGGAAGGUUCCUUUGGUGGAAGGUUGCUUGAUCUGGAAUUCACUUCUUUUCCAGUUGUCUGUUUCAUGAAUCAUAAAGUAAUGGAGCAGGCAAUGUUUAAUAAUGCCAAUAGGGUUGUCCUUAUCAUACAAAUAAGAAAUGAUCUAGAAAUAAAGGAAUAACUUAGCCAUCAAAUUAUAGAAAGUAGUGCUUGAAUAGUGAAUGGCUAGUGUUGUGCCUACAUGCCUAGGCAGUCCCACCAAGACCUUGGGCAACCACAAUGCCUAGGCACCUCAUGCUUUCAUAGCUGCUGAGUGAGACAACUGCCUGAGCAGCUAGGCUGGUGCCUAGUCUGGCACUUCGCCACUUUUUGAUGCUAAGGAGGGUGCCUAUUCAUGAUAUUAUUUAUCACUUUAAAUUCCAGCCAUGAUUCUUUAUGUAUAGUAUAGAAUUUAGUUGCUACCUAGUAAUUUGGGGUAUAUUUAAUGAACACAGUGUUUUCCCAUGUAUUUUCUAUGAAGAAAAUUCAUGCAUCUGCUAUAACUUGAUUAUAAAAGGCAAGAAUGUAAAAUUUAUUAAUUUUUAGAGAUUUUUUAACUCGAGGCAAUCUGCUUGACUGUAGCCUAGGCAUUUCAGCGACCAUUGCGUAGGCAUUUUGACAACCUUGCAAAUGACCUCGAGCUCUUAUAUUGGUUGGGAGAAAAUUCUCUAUAGAUCUCGUUGACCUUUUCAGGAGCAAAGACGUCACGGAAUGGCAAUAGAGGUGGAGUAUUUUUAGAAUGGCAUUUCUUCACAAUCACUUCUGAUGUUGUGGAACCAUGACAAUUAGGAUCUUAAGAUGCGGCAACACCUAUUUCUUCUCGUCUGAUAUGCAAAUAUUCGCCCACUUGAUCAACCAAGUUUCUGCCCAAAGCUAGCUAAUGAAUUUAUUAUUAAAUGGGGAACCACAAUAAUAAAAUUUAAUCAAUGGAUGCUCCAGAACUAAAGCUAUGUUCAUUCAAGGAUGAACCUUAACUUUGAACCCGCCAACCACCAUCUCUUCCUAUUUUUCUUCUUAUAUCGUCUCCUUUUUGCAAGGAAACUAUGAAUGGUUUUUGGAUGAAAAUGGAAAUGUUCUCUGUGGUUUUAGUUGGGUGGAUUCCAGGUUUUUUCUGAAAUGCAUAUGCCACUUUAACUUAUAUAUUCCUUUCCUUCUCCGUUUGGAAAAAGAAGCAACACACUUGUUUAGUUGUGCCUGCUAGGCACAUGAUGUUAUUUUUAUAGAUGAAUUUGAAAGAUGGAUUUUCAAAGCAUUAUUUUUUUUAAAAAAAAAACUUCAAAUUAUAUAAUGAUAUUAAGGUAAUGACUAAAAACAUAAACACCAAUUCAUUUGAAGAGACUAUUUUGAUGCAUGUAGAAUGUUGAAGAUAUCAAAUAAGCUUAGUGAAGCUAAUUACUGAAUCUUUGAAACCUUUAAGAUACUUAAGUUGAUAUUGCUAUGGAUACAGCUCUUAUACUUUCCUUUUAUACUCUCUUUAAAGUAACUGGCAUUAUUGUGUUUAUGUCUAAUUUAUUUGAGGACCUUUACCCAAGUUGAUGCAAAUUCAUUUUCUCAUCAGGUGUGUGAGGGCUCUGAAUGUGGUCAAGCAUGAAUAUUGUCAUCUGCGAAGCAAAUUUGAGACCAUGUUGCAGGUAAUUUUGAUAUGCUAAUUUUAAUUUUACAUUUGGAAUUGAGAGCAUAUCUGAGAAAACCUUUCUUUGGUUUCCAUCACCUAUUAAUUAUUUUUUGAUUACAUAAAACUAAUUUAUAUAUUUAGAGGUUUCAACUCUCUUUGCUUCACUUGUUCUCUCUCCUUUCAUGGAGAAAUUUAAAGUUCAACCUCAAGCCUCCUUGGAAUAUGGGGUUCUUGGAUUUGCUAGCAUCUGCAUAUUUAGGUUGGGCUCCACUUUGCUUCCUCCUUUUCUUUUUUCCAUGUAUUCUUUAUAAGGAGUGAAGCCAGAAUUUUUGGUAAAACUUUAGGCUUCAAUACUAAUGCUUGAUUAUGCAUCUUGAAACAACAUGAUAUCUUAAGGGGUAAUUAUAGUUUUCCUCGAUGUCAUAUUGAAAUUGUGAACUCUACAACAUUGAUGAGUAUCUUCAUUUUCACUUUGCUCAAACGGAAAGAAAGGUUGUUCCUUGUUGUUGGUGCCUGCAUCUGCAUCAGUGAUGCAAAUCUUGGAGGAGUUAAAUGGUCAUCUUAUAUGAAAUAGCAUGGUUUGUGUUCCACACCACCAAAUUGUCUUCUGUAGAGUAGAUUGUUUUCAUGCCUAUCUUUAUUGAAAUUCAUAUGUAGGUUUCCGACUCAACACCCAAUUAAUUUAGUUAAAUUGGUGAUCCUGGGCCUUUAUUGUGAGCACUGCCUGCAGUGUUGCAUUGACAUGAAUAUAAGAUUCAAAUUCAAAAACGCAUUCAGAUGUUUGACUCAAUAAUAGGAAAAACUAGCAUAGAACCCAUGCGAUGCAUAGGGUACGAUUUUUCCCCUUUUUUCCAACUAUUCUUGAUAUGCAACUUAGUAAUAUAACAAAAUAUACUCAAGGGGUAUCUCUGAAAGUGAGACAUUACAUUGUGUCAUUGGCAUCCACAUGGUGAAUGGAUAACUCUACACAAGUGCUUCUAUGCAGAAACUUCCAUCCUUAAUAUCGGUGAUAUGGCUUUCCAAAAUGUGUUCCAAUCUGAUAGAUUUGGAAUCCCUCCAGCCAAAAAGGCUCUCUAAAAAAGAGGCUGACCUCGAUCGAAAAUUCGAGGAGAUGAAUAUUAAGAUGGAAGCCUUGGGAGAAAGGCAAGCCGACAAGGGAGAAGAUUUGGAAAUUACCACCAAUUUGCCUUUCUCCAAGGCAAUUAUGGACGAACCGCUGCCAAGGACAUUCCAGAUGCCCCAUUUCAAGGUGUAUGAUGGCAUUUCGGAUUCGAUGGACCAUCUCGAGAGCUUAAGGCUCUCAUAAUGUUAUAGGGGCUAUCGAUGCAGUCUUAUGCCGAGCUUUCCUAGCCACUCUGAGGAAAGCAGCAUGCCUUUGGUGUUCCAUCCUCCAACCACAACCCAUUCAUUUUUUUUUAUUAGUUCAAUCGACAGUUUGUGACUCACUUUGUGAGCAAUCGAAGGCAGAAGGACACCACAAAUCUAUUCACAAUGAAGCAGAGGGAAGACGAGUCGCUCAGGAGUUACAUCAACCACUUCAACUUGGAGAUGUUGCAGAUUCAUGAUCUGGAUGAGAAGAUCACAGAAUGAACAACAAAGAGUAGGCUGAAAUCUUGUUGCUUCUACUUCUUGAAAAAGAGGACUUCGAAAGAUUUGGUCGAGCUGCUGUCUCGAGCUAAGAAGUAUAUCAAGAUCGAGGAGGCAAUGGCAGCUCGAAAGGAGGAGAAUAGAGCUAGAAAGGGUAGAAAAAGGGGCCGAGAAGAAAGAGAACCCACCAAGAGGCCCAUAUGCGAAGGGGACAACCGUCGAUGAUCAAAUAGCCCACAAUCAAAAUUUGACGGAUAUACUCCUCUCAACAUACCUAGAAUCCAGAUAGAAUGUCGGGAAUAUUUGUAGCGGCUAAAGAUAAGGACCUCAUCAGCAAUCAAGAAUCCUAGAAAAUACUAUCAUUUUCACAAGGAUCACGGCCACGACACUGAAUAGUGCGUCAAACUAAAGAAUAAGAUUGAAGCUUUUAUCGGCCGAGGACAUCUUGGUCAGUACGUGGAGAACCAACACCGAGAAGAGGGAGCGCGAUGGGAUAGGCACUUACUGGAGAAGUUGGAAUACCACCGACCCAUGGUAGGGUCAUUAAUACGAUAUUAGAAGGACCUGCAAUAGGACGGUCGAGUUUGUUGGCUCAAAAGAAUUAUGCUUGAGCAACUCAAAGUGGGGACUUGGCCCUGAAGAUACCAAGAUUCGAGAAAGUCAUCUUUCUCAGGUGCCAAUCUGAAGGGGGUACAGACCCUCCAUGAUGUACGAAGGAUUUUACUAGAUAAUGAAAGCUCUACAGAUAUCUUGUUCUACGAGGCAUUCUAGAAAAUGAAUAUGCAUGCAGAUCGGCUAGGGAGAGUUGACUCUUGUUUGAUCAAUUUCUCUAGUUACUCUGUACUGGUGGAGGGAGUAAUCACCAUUUCAGUCACAGCUGAUCAGAAACCUCGACAGGCGACUGUCACACUAGACAUUCUGGUUGUUAAGGUCCCCUCAGCAUACAACACAAUCCUUGGUUAGCCUGGAUUAAACAUGAUGUGAGUUGUGCUAUCAACCUACCAUUUGAUAAUGAGAUUCCCUAUGAGCAACAAAGUCGGCGAAUUAAGAGGUGAUGAGGCAGUAGUUCGAUAGUGCUACGUCGCCAUCCUCAAAAGAACCACCAAAUCCUUGAAGACAUUACCCAUCAAAGAUCUAGACAUCCAGCAUGAGCAGAAGGAAUAGUGUGGAGAACUAGCCAAGGAACUUAUCUCUGUUCCUGUUUUUGACGAAGAAGACAAUCAGACAAUUCAUAUUGGCUUGUUAUUCGAUGAGGAAACAAAGAACUUGCCUCUCUCAGCAAUUAGAUCGGUUCUUGUUUGGGAAGAGCUCAGAAAUUAGAAGCUUGUUAUUAUGUGAGCAAGCUACUUCCAGGUGUCAAAACAAAGUACCCAAGAAUGGAAAAAUGGCUGACGCUCUAAUGAUCUCAACUUAGAGGUUACGACCAUACUUCCAAGCUCUUACUAUCAUUGACAUGACUGAUCAACUAUUGAAGUAGGUAUUACAGAAGCCAGAAGUUUCUGGACGCUUGAAGAGUUCGAUAAAUUAUCAGCACCGGUCAGCUAUUAAAGUACAGGCAUUAGCCAACUUCAUUGUCGAGUGCAUGAUGCUACAGGAAGCUAAGUCUGAGGAUAGAAGCCGAGCUCGAGCAACAAGAAUCAGAGGUACAACCCUUUUGGAUGCUUCAUGUUGAUGGAUCCUCCAAUGCAAGUGGAUGUGGAGCUGAGCUGAUCGUCGCCAACCAUGAGGACGUCGUGGUCGAGUAUGCCCUAAGGUUUAACUUCAAGAUCUCCAACAAUGAAGCAGAAUAUGAAGCACUAAUCACCGAAUUGAGGUUAGCCCAAACCUUUGGGAUAACCUAACUCAAGACUUAUAGCAACUCCUAGCUCGUUGUUAAUCAGGUCCAAGAAGAAUAUGAAGCCCGAGAUUCUACAAUGGUGAAGUACUUAUAGAAGAUGAAGGAGAUUUCCUCUAUCUUUGACAAGUUUGAAAUUCUACAGAUACCUCGAAAAGAGAAUAUGAAGGCGGAUGUCCUAUCCAAGUUAGCCAGCCCAUGAUGCUCCGAUCUGAGCGAGACUUACCUUGAAGCACUUGACAAACCCAGCAUUGAUGAGAAUCAUGACCAAGUACUCCAAAUAAAAGACGAGCCAAGUUGGAUGGAUCUCAUUGUUCGUUACCUCAAGGAGGGAGAACUCAUCGACCAGAAGGAGGCUCGUAGACUCAAGCAUCAGGCUACUAGGUAUACUUUGGUCAGCGACCGACUAUAUAAGAGGUCUUUUACUUUGCCAUACCUCCAAUGCCUUCAACCUAUUGAGACCGAGUAUGCCCUUCGAGAAGUUCAUGAAGGCUCAUUUAGGGGGCAGGGCCCUAGAGCAUAAAGAACUAAGGCAUGGAUUUUAUUGGCCCACAUUGUAGAAAGAUGCUGCUAAGUUUAUGAAGAAGUUCGAUUAGUGCAAAAGAUAUGCCAAUAUUCAGCACCAACCGACUGUGGAGUUAAUUCUGAUCGGCAUUACGUGGCCAUUCGCCGAGUAGGGAUGGACAUUCUUUGUCCUUCCAACAAGCUAUCGAAUAGAGGAAGUUCCUUAUCGUCGUUGUCAACUACUUUAUAAAAUAGGUCGAGGCGAAACCAUUAGCUCGGAUCACUGAGGAUAAUGCACAGCUUCAUUUGAAAAUCCAUUAUCUGCCAGUUCGGGAUUCCUCAGGCUCUCAUCACCAACAACGACCAAUAAUUUGAUAAUGCUCGAUUUAGAGAUUCUGCUUCGAACUCGACAUCGACCAUCGGCUCACCUCAGUCGACCAUCCCCAAGCCAAUGGAGAAGCUGAGGUGACUAAUUGCACUAUUUUGCAAAACUUGAAGACUAGACUUGAUCAAGCUAAGGGCCUCUGGGUAGAUGAGCUGCCUAGUAUUUUUUGGGCCUAUCGAACAAUUCAUCAGACACCGAUCGGAGACUCCUCUUAAAAUCUCCUUUGGCACUGAAGUCGUCAUUUCUAUGGAGAUUGGCAUUCCGUUCUAUUGGGUGGAGAUAUGACGAGCAAGCUAAUGCCUAGAACCUCUAUGCCGAUUUGGACCUAUUGGAUGAAGUCAAGGAAUGAGCUUGGAUCAAGAUGGUUGCCUAUCAGCAACGGGCGGCCCGAUACUACAACUCCCAAGUCAAGGCAAAGCUCUUCCGACAAGAGGACCUCGUCCUCAGAAAAGCCAAGGUUGCCUAACAAGAUGACCGCCGGAAGCUUGCACCCAAGUGCGAGGGACCGUACAGAGUUGCGGAAGUCAUCCGAUGCAUAUUGACUUGAACAACCUGACGGAACUCCAGUACCUUGGGCAUGGAAUUCUGAUAACCUCCAAGUGUACCACUGGUAAGAGAAUUUCGAACUCUAUACGUUAUUGCUAAUAAUAAAUAAAGUUUGUCUUUGUGCUCCAAAAUAGCUGAGUAAUGCUGGUUUUGAUACAUCACCGCUGACCAAGAAAUCUUUGAUAACGAUGGAUCGGGCGAGUUUGCCAAAGACCCCCAGUCAAGAUUUUUGUGGGCCUAUCUAAAAAGCUGAAGCGUCAAAGCAUGGACGAAAUGUUGGGUGAGUCUCCCAAGGGACCAUCGAUGACACCACACUCAAGCGUCACAGGGUGAACAAGUCUCCCAAGAGAUUACCAAUAUGUUAUUCCCGCGGGCCUACCCAAGAUAUCGAAUAGCCAAAUCAUGGAUGAACUAUUGGAUGAGUCUUCCAAGAGACCACUGACAGCGCCGCACUUGAGCGCCGCAGGUUAGGACGAGCUUUUGGAGAAGCCACCAGCUUAUUAAUGGCCAAGAACCAAUGAAAGAUCCAGUCAAGGCUAGGCUCGAAUGGGAAGAAGUAUGCUCGGCUUGAUCAACCAGAUGCUAGCUAUCCAAAAAACCUAAUCGAUAGAAUUCCUGGUGAGCCAAACAAUUCACCUUUCCAAGCAAGGGGAACCAGGCAUCGAGACGAAGAGUCGAAGUCCGAACAAAUAACCAAAGAUCCAGAGAGCCAAACGAUCCAUCUUUUUUAGGCGAGGGGAAUCGGACACCGAGAUGAAGAGCCGAACUCCGACCAAAUACUAGGAGGGUUGAAUAACCCGCCUCUGUAGGGAGGAAAUAAGGCACCAAGAUCGGAACCCAAACUACACAACAAUGAUAACAUGGGCAUGACCCACUGACCAAAGAUUGUCUACGAACAAGGGACAAGGGUCCGACCUAACUAUGAACGCACCCAUAAAAAUCUGCUCUGAAGUUCUCGACCUCAUCUGGUCUAAAUAGGGACUCAGUAAACUCCAACCUCUAAUCUACGACCUAUAUGCCUAUGCCUAAAAAAGGGACAAGUCUACAACCUUGACAAAAUAAGCUGAGAAUGAGGAGUAAGAUCCCCACACAAAGCAGGCAACUCCUGCCUCGGACUCCGACACAUUGGUCCAAAUCAAAGACAAGCUGCCAAGGCAGCCUGAACAAAUCUCGACCAGCUUAGGCGUAGGAAAACGAGCUAUAAAACUUCGUUUCGCCUAAACAUCAGGAAGCCAACCUACAGCAGUUCGUCAUGAAGGAUAACCGAUGGAAGGACGCCGAAGAAAGGAUGGAGAAAGAAAGAAGGGAAAGGGUGGAAGCUUCCAUCGGAAUAGAUAGCUCCAAGAGAUGGAAAGGCGAUUGCAAAGUGGGAGGAAUCGCCUCAGGCUUCCGCCCCUUAUAUAGAGCUGCGGACGAUGCUGAUCACAUCAUCUGUCCACUCAUUUGUCUAUCAGCUGCCACAUGCAAACUCAACAUUUUGGGUUUAUGCGCUCCCAUAGAUUGUUCCAUUAUCAAAUUGCGAGAAGGAAUGAUGGUAGCGGCAAAAAUUUUACCCGUAUAUGCGAUGCUUCAAAAACAAAACCGAUCUGUGGAAUCAUGCCUGUCAUUGAAUGCAGUUUUUUUGGAGUGCCCAAGGUUGAUCUAACAACUCAAAUUUAGCUCUGUUGGCUCACUCGACAAAUGAUUUAACUACUUCAUUUGAGUCGAGCAAGUACAGCUUGGGCUCAAAAGUGGGGGGCAAGUGAUAUGGCUUGGAUUUUCAAUCCCUAAAAUAUCGCAUGACAGCUUAGCUUGCCGAAUCGAACGACAAUAGGCGUCCAAUGAAAUCAACAAUCAAGCAAAUCUUCAAAUAAUUAGCGAUUGUUAUAGCUUGGUGCAAUCUCAAUCCGUCCAAAAAAGAAUAUUGUAACUGACCAAUAGAUAAGAAAAGUGCUUAAUUAUAGCGCACCUAAAAAGGAAUAUCCCCACCGCCCCAAUUAGCAAAUAUGGAAAGAGCUCAAUUGCUCGUUCGCAAAUCUCAGAGCCCUAAUCAUGCAGAUUCGCAUCCCUUUCUCUAUAAAUAUCUAGCACGGGGAUCCCUCGGUACAACAAAGGAAGCUCCCAUCACCAUAUUCUGAAAUUUCUACCUCUCUUUUACCUCUCCUAUUUCCUCUCAAAACUAACUAAAGCAUCGGAGGAUCCUCAGUUGGACAUGUUUCUAGUGACCUCCUGAUCGUUUUAUGUGGUUGUAGAAUAACUCCAGCGCCGCGCUACACUUCUCCAACUCUACCGAACAAAGCAGCUCACUUGUCAGCCUGUCCAUCUGUCAGUUCGAAUUUUGAGCGUCAACAACUGGCAUAUUUAAUAUGAACCCUGUGUGAUGCGGAUUUUUUUCUUUUUCCAACUAUUUUUGAAAUGCAAUAUAACAAUAUAACACAUUAUAAUAAGAAAGCUUUAAUAGUCAAAUUUUUAUUGCAUGUAAGCAGUGAUCUUUAAUGAUGACCAAACAUAUUAAUACUGGCACGAUUAAUAUUUGUGUCUAUAUGGCGAAUGGAGAAGUUUGCACAACUGAGCCUCCAUAUAAUAUAAUAGAAGAGAGAUAUGGGAACUUAGAAUAACAUAUAAAUUUAUCUAAAUUAUAUAUUUAUACCUUUAAAUGUUAUCUAUUUAAACAUUAAAAGGAAAACAUUAGAAAGGCACUAUUUGCUAAGAUCUUUUAAUAUAAAUUAAAUAGAAAGGCACUAUUUGCUAAGAUCUUUUAAUAGAAGAGAGAUAUGGGAACUUAGAAUAACAUAUAAAUUUAACUAAAUUAUAUAUUUAUACCUUUAAAUGUUAUCUAUUUAAACAUUAAAAGGAAAACAUUAGAAAGGCACUAUUUGCUAAGAUCUUUUAAUAUACUUUUCUCUCUUUUGAACUUUCUAAUUAAUUUAAGGCUAGUAACAAACUAAUAUUUUGCAAAGAUGUUAUAAUGUUCGCAUUCUUAAAAAAUUUCGAAAAAGAACAACUACUCGCUUCUAAUAUCAAAUUUGAGGAUCAAAUUCGUUAUUGAAAGAGUUUAACUCACUCAUUGUUGGAAGAGUCCAACUUUUUUCUAAUUUUUAAAAGUGUCUACUAAAAAAACGUCGUAAGUAUCUAAGUAUCCGAUAUGUAUCCAAGUCAGAUAGAUAUCCAACAUGGAUUUUCGGAGCUGGACAUGAGGUAACACUGCUUACUUGCAUUCCUCAUUAGAGAUGCUGUUAUUUAAUUGGUUUAAAUUAUGAUCGUUGAGCCCUUCUUAUGAGCCCUUAAGUGCAUUCCUUAUAAAGGGUGCUGCUGCAUUUUCUUCAAGUCUUGUUGUCUUCCAGCUUUACUAGAUAACUGAAUGAGGUUGACACUUGCACUAUUAAGAAAAUUUUCUAAUAGUGGUGUUAAAUAGUUAAUUUUGAAAAUUGCCAUGAUAACAUGGAGUUGUGUUGACAUUAUAAUUAACUUUCUUGAAUUAGUCAUCAUCUGUUUUUACAGCAGCUGCUGACACCGAAUGCAGGGAAUCAGUAGUGAGAUGGUUUAGUGGAUUUUCCUCGAAUGUUUUCAUCAUUAGUUUUAUAAUUAGCAAAACUGUUUCGAGAUACUUGUACCUUAUUAAAUUUGUGUACCGGUUUAUUCAUCUUAGCUGACCCCAACUAGUUUGAGGUUAAGGCUUAGUUGAGUUUAGUUACCUGUUUAUUAAUCUCUGGUUUUCUCAUGGACUUUUUUUGUUUAAUGCAGCUGGAGAGCAGAAUUCAAGCUUAUGAAAAUAAACAGCAAAAUUAGAAUUUCUGGUGAUAUCAUCUUAGUAGCUUCUUGUUUCUUUAAGUUAUUGAACAUCUGCAGUAUCCUGAAAUAACUGUACGACAAAUACAUGGUGAGAUCGUGUAAGAAGUUCUGUUAUGUAAAUUAAAUCAAAAAUUCUGCAGGGUAGUUGAUAAUUAAACUGUCAUGGCCUCUUACCAUUUCCAAAUUUGGUGCUGUAAAGUAAUUUAAUCUUUCAAAAUGGGCGAUAAUGCUUGAUCAGCAUUUGAAGCCUGUGUCAGUGUUACAGUUUUUGGAUCAACAUUCAGCAGGAAGCUUAUUAGUUAUAUUGUUGCCAUGUAGCAUUCUGAAUGAUGAGUGCUUGUUGUCUUGCACUGGCUUCUUUACGCAAGGAACAGGAUGAUGACAUCUUUGUAGAUGGAAUAAUAACAGCAAUUUUCCUUAGCAUAUACAUUUCAGAAGGCUUUUGUUUGAUGUUUGCUGAUAAAAUGAUCUGACGAGCAGUAUUUGUGCAAUCUGCAUGCACACAAACAAAAGCGUCGUGGUGUUGUCUGUACGUACAUGCAUGUGGUUAGGGUGCAAACUUGGAGAUUUGUGGACGUGAAUUUUUCAGAAACCGUUUGCUGACACACGAAGAACUGCAAGGUGCAAUCUACUGUCUACGUACAACACCAGUUUUAGGCCCUGCAUAUGAGACAAAGAUCAUGUAUGUUAUGGGGCACCACUCUAGGGGCACCAGAAUGUACAUUAAAAAAAAGGGAAAAUAAAGGGAAAGUGGAUGCUGAUCAUCAAAUUUCUCACAGAGAGGUGGCAAUAACAGCCGUUGAUCCUUGAAUCCAACAUGGGGACCUCUGGUGGCAAAUGCAGUAGCAGACAUCGAACUGUCCCAGUACUCAAAUGGGGAGGAGGGAGACUNNNNNNNNNNNNNNNNNNNNNNNNNNNNNNNNNNNNNNNNNNNNNNNNNNNNNNNNNNNNNNNNNNNNNNNNNNNNNNNNNNNNNNNNNNNNNNNNNNNNNNNNNNNNNNNNNNNNNNNNNNNNNNNNNNNNNNNNNNNNNNNNNNNNNNNNNNNNNNNNNNNNNNNNNNNNNNNNNNNNNNNNNNNNNNNNNNNNNNNNNNNNNNNNNNNNNNNNNNNNNNNNNNNNNNNNNNNNNNNNNNNNNNNNNNNNNNNNNNNNNNNNNNNNNNNNNNNNNNNNNNNNNNNNNNNNNNNNNNNNNNNNNNNNNNNNNNNNNNNNNNNNNNNNNNNNNNNNNNNNNNNNNNNNNNNNNNNNNNNNNNNNNNNNNNNNNNNNNNNNNNNNNNNNNNNNNNNNNNNNNNNNNNNNNNNNNNNNNNNNNNNNNNNNNNNNNNNNNNNNNNNNNNNNNNNNNNNNNNNNNNNNNNNNNNNNNNNNNNNNNNNNNNNNNNNNNNNNNNNNNNNNNNNNNNNNNNNNNNNNNNNNNNNNNNNNNNNNNNNNNNNNNNNNNNNNNNNNNNNNNNNNNNNNNNNNNNNNNNNNNNNNNNNNNNNNNNNNNNNNNNNNNNNNNNNNNNNNNNNNNNNNNNNNNNNNNNNNNNNNNNNNNNNNNNNNNNNNNNNNNNNNNNNNNNNNNNNNNNNNNNNNNNNNNNNNNNNNNNNNNNNNNNNNNNNNNNNNNNNNNNNNNNNNNNNNNNNNNNNNNNNNNNNNNNNNNNNNNNNNNNNNNNNNNNNNNNNNNNNNNNNNNNNNNNNNNNNNNNNNNNNNNNNNNNUCUCCGACUCAGGCAUAGAUAGAGACGAUAGAGACGUGCUUGAAGCAGCACGCAAAAGAAAAUAAUGAAGGAUAUUUAUGUUAUAUCAGUACAUUAUAAUAAAAAAUAGCAGCCAUUAUAUUUUCCACUGUAAUGAAGGAUAUUUAUGUUAUAACAGUACAUUAUAAUAAAAAAUAGCGGCCAUUAUAUUUUCCACUGUAUUUUUUUUUUUUUUUGCUAGACUCCACUGUAUGUUCCUUAACAACAUAAUGAUAACUAGUAGAAACUCUAAUAAUGGCCAUUAUAACAGCGAUAACACUGCCAAAACGGUGAUAUAAAAAGUACACUGUGCAACAGUUGUCAUUUUGCUUUCAGGAUCUCAAUCAAGCGGAGCAUUGGCACGAUCAUCUAAGUACUGGCGAGUCUAAGUACUGUACAACGGUUGUCAUCGCACUUGAAAAAUAUCAGGUGCUGCUUCUAGUGGCAGACAGGAAGAACAUUCAGCCGCAUUUUAUAUUUUCAAUAUACCACAGAUUCCAAAUCUGUCAAUAUCCGGUAGCCACUGAUUGAUUGAUGUUACAAUCAAAUGGCAGUUUCAGGAGAGCCACUGUCUCACCAUCAAAAAGUAUGCGAUAUUAGGCCUAGCAUAAAUUUAUGCUCUCCUAUACUCAUCACCGCAGUCGCCAAUUACUUCAAGCAAAUCCUUUCCUUUUUUGGAUACCUCUGUGAUUUCGUUCAUAUCUUCUUCAUCCAAAGCUAGAGAAAACACAGCGUUUGUAUCCUGAAUAUGUUCUGCAAGACCAAGUCUAACACCUACCAUUGAUCCGGCAACUGAUGGCUGCUCUCACAAUUGAACCAAAACAAGAUACAAUAAGAAAAUCAAUCACUGUAAGAGUUGUCGAUCCACUAAUAUUAUUCACAACAAAUAUUAGAUUACCAUUUUAUCGUAAUUUGAUAUAAUUGGUUUUACCUGAUCCAGUAUGUAUCCAACAGCAACAGUUGGGAUUGAGACCCCAUGUUUGGAAGCUACCCUCUUCAGUGUCUGCAGCAAAGCUUGGAAGAGUCUCCAUCCCCCCCAAGCAUCAACCAUCUGUCAAAGUUUGCAAUGAAUGCCCGGAAUGUGAUUUUAAAACAAAUUAUGCACAUCUGUGUCGACAGUUAAGUGUAAGAAAGCAGCCUGUCUAUCAAAAAAGCGUACCCUUUUAUACUUCUGCAGAGAUGGCGUAUUUAGAGGAGGGCCAGCAAAGGGAAUGGACACAUUGGUAUCUAAAAACUUCUCAGACAGUAGACCGCCCAUUACAGUUCCAUACCUGCAUCUUAAAAUCUAUCAGCUCUAAUUGUGAGAGAGAGAGAGAGAGAGAGAGAGAGAGAGAGAGAGAGAGAGAGAGNNNNNNNNNNNNNNNNNNNNGAGAGAGAGAGAGAGACGUUAUAAGUUUCACUCCUGUAAGCUGACAAAGUUCUGCCAUUCUCUGCUGAGGGCGCAUGUCCACGACAGAAUGUUGUACCUAAUAGCACCAUUUGAUUACAUAAACAUCUCAGGGCACCAAACAAGACACAAUUGAACAAAUAAAAACAAAGUUAAAAACAAUCUGUUGCCCCUUCUCUAUACUGAGAGGAGGAAUUUUCUCAAGGAAAUCCAUUACCUGAUUGCUAACAACUGGGAUCCCAUUUUCCAGUAUUAUAUGUAAUCUUUCGGUAUCAAAGUUGGUCAAAGCUAGAGUCUUGAUUUUACCUGCAUGUUUUUCAGUGUUGAAAACUGAUUAGAUCAGGACAAACCCUAAAGAGUUGAAACAAUAACACACUUUUAAAGUCAGCAAUUGGAUAAUAACAAUAUAUCGUCCUUACUGACCUUCUUCUUUCAGAUCAGUUAGGUGUUUUAGGGCAUCAAGGUAUCCUGGAUUGGAAUAAUCCCACCUGUCUCAAGGAAAACCAUAACAGAAACACUAAGUUGGAAUGAACUAAAAUGUCACUAAGGAAAUAAUUUCAUAAACUGUACACUACCUUCAUUAAAUCAAAGCACUUAUAUGUUCCCAAAAUUACUAGACAACCAAUUAACCUGUUCAUUGCAGUUUUCCUCUCAAAACAAAAAUUAAAGGGGAAAAGACUGCUCACUGCAGAGAGCAUCCUCUAUUAUUCUCCUUCAAAGAUUAGCUUGAAUGACUCGCAUGAUCUUCUUUUUGCAUAUAGUCUUCUAUCCCUUAUCAAGGACAUUUUUAAUCUUCAAACAAACAGCUAUGCAGAUAGAUACACAGAGUCAAGAGAAAAAGUUCAUGCACUUACUAUGGACACCUGCACUAAAAUCCCUCUCUCACUCUCACUCACUCACUCACUCUCACAGACACACGCACACAAUUUAAUCUUUGAAAAAAUAGCUAUAAGGAGAGAUGCAUAAUGUCAAGAAAAAGGUCAAGCACUUAUUACGGACAGCUGCACCAAAAUCUUAAAUCCUAAGCCGACUAACCAUAAUACACACACAAACAUCUUGACAAUUGCUAUUGAUUAAUGAUAGCGUGAAAUACCAUAACUAAAUACCAUAGCAUCCUACCAUAAAAAAUACUUUAAUUACAGAUGCAGUGAUGCAGCAUCCUUAAUCAAGAUACAAGCUGGCUUUCUAUAGCAAAUGCAAAUUUAACCCAUGAACUCUAACCAAACAGUAAUAAAAAUUUAAAAUUUGCAGACUAAGGACAACCAAAGUAAAACAUAAAUGAAUUAAACAAAAAACAUUUUAGAAGAAAAUGAUGAAACAACCAAAAACACCUCAACAGGGGCGGCUCAAUACAUUCUGGGGCCUAAGGCGAAUCCAAUGAACGAGGCCUUUUUUUUUAAUAAUUUUUUUAAUAAAUAUAAAAUACUUAAAAAAUAUAUAAAAAUAGAUAGCUAUCAAGUACACUAUUUUAACAAAGAUACAUGAAUCUAACAAAGAUAGACAAAAAGCCUUUUUAAUUUAAUAUAAUUCUUGAAUGGAAGCACAUAAAAGUAAUUAUACUAAAUGAAGGGCUAUGAAACUGAUUAAAUAACUGAGAUAAUGCUUGGCAAUACUGUUUACCAUGUCAAGCAAGAACCAAAUAGGAAAAGGUCAUCCCAUGGCACUUCAUGGUCAAGGUAAAGAAAAGAAUUUGUCCAUAAAGGAACCUCUUGAUAAGAGAAAGUAGGGUCAUUAUGGAAAAUUUACCCCAUCCCACCAUCUCCCCUUCAAGUAAGUACCCAAGCGGCAACUGCAAUAUCACAGCACAGCAGCCAUUCAACCCCCUCCCUCCUUUUCUCUCUCUACCACCCAAGAGGGGAGAAGAAACCGAGAGGAGAAAACUAAAAGAAUCUCCACCCUCGAAGAAGACCAUCUCCAAUCCCCCUAUCUUUCUUCCGGAUGGCCCAGCUGGAUCAGGAGUAAUGUGAGGGAAGGAAAACCAAGACCAAAACCAAAAAAGAGAAGGGACGAAAGAUAAGAGUGGCUUCAGGCGUCUAUCAAGCCAACCAAAUCCCUCCUCUCUCUCUCGCUCUCCCCACCCAAAACAAAACUACUGUCCCCAACAUCCCAAAUUGCCCCUCUGCAGGCCUGGAUACUCUCCACCUCCCUUCCAUCAAGGGGGAAGACUCGUAGCCAGCUCAAGAUCGGGGCCUUUGCUUCCUUUUGGUCAGCCUCCCGGGGGCCUUCCAUUGGCCCGGAGCCUUAGGCGACCGCCUCAGUCGCCUAGGGCUCGGGCCGGCCCUGCACCUCAAGAUACACCAAGGAAAAAGAUAAAAAGAGACAAGGUAAAACCCCAUGAUACACUAAAAUACAUCCUAGUCCCCUCCAAAAAAUAAACAAGAAAAAAGGGAAAAAGAGGACAGAGGAAAUCAAAACACGAAGGGAAAAGUGAAAAGCCUUAAACCAAGACCAAAAAAUGUCUAAGCAUGCAGGAAACUUUUGCACAAAUCAACUUCUCUCUAGCAAUUAAGGCAUAAGAGAACACAUCAACUACUCCUCGCAAAACAAUCUAUCUGAUGAAAUAAAUUUUAUUUCUCAAGAAAACGCUAUCCUAGCAAAAUUAAACAAAGCUAUAAAUGAACAAACCUUCAAAAACAUUGGAAAAGCAACAAAGAAUAGAAAAAUACAGCAAAUUAUUUUUUAAAAUAAACUCUUAAAGGAAGCGAGACUGCAACUGCUCACUAUAUGGUAUGCCAAACCAGGCCGAAUAGCCCGGUUUACCACGUACAAAACCGAACCGGUGCGGAAUUGGCACGGUUCGGCUGGUAUUUCUGAGAAAAACUAAGAACCACUUUGAACCAGAUGGUUCGCAGCCAAACUGGAUGGUUCGGAGCCGAACCUGUACGAACUAGUUGGUUCGCACUUGUUUGAACUAGUUUGCCUUCUCAGGCCUUUUUUGACUUUCAUUUUCAAAACCCCCCUCCGAUUUUGACAAAAACUCAAUGAUUUCAAUGAUUAAAGAAGGAUCCAACUCAAAACAAGAUAAGAUAGCUCUCCCCCACCUUAUUUCUUCCCUUUUCUUUUUCAACGUCGAAAAAUACUAAGAAAAUUGGAAAGUUAUAGAUCUAUGAGUAAUCUAUACAAUUAAACUAAAAUUUUUAAUUUUCAUUAAAGCUAUAAUUUUUAAAUUAAAAAAUAUAUUUUUAGAUUAAAAAUAAAAUAAAAUAAAAUAAAAUUCAAAAAAUAACUAUAAAAUUAGAAUCUUGUUUAGAAGCAUGCAAGCUACUCUAUAUCUAAAUAUGGUAUCCAUUUAUUUACGUUUGGAUCCACUCAUACACACAGUAGCCUAACCUCAAAUUUGAAUGAAAUUGAAAAAUAAGUAGCCUUUUAUUCAUGCUCAUAGGCUAAAAAAAUAUAUCUAACAGCCAUGAUAGGGUUCUAUAUGAAUCUGAGCUUGAAUUAGUUUUCUAAAAUUUUUGUAUCCAAAAAUUAUUUUUUAAUUUAAAAAAUAAUUAAAAUAUAUAUUCAAUAAAAAAUAUGAAAAAUUAGUAUAUUAGAUAAUUUAGAAGUAUUUUCUGAAGUAGAAAAUAUAUUUUCUGAAUUUUUGAUAUUUGAUAUUAUUUUUUAUUUUAAAAAUUAAUAAAAAUAUAAAAAUAAUAUAAAAAUAAAAUUAGUACUAUGUAUUAGAUAAUUCAAAAGUAUUUUCUAAAGUAAUUUUUUUAUUAUUAUAAAAAAUUUACUAUUUUUAAUAAUUAACAAACUUACACGCUUGAUAAACCAGCAAGAUUGGAUAUAUUGAGGAAAAAGAACCUAGAGCGUGACAUUGGUUAGAAUUAUAGGCAAAUACUCUUGGAUCGGCACCAUUAGACGUACAAUUGGUACAACAUAGAGUUCAAGAGAUGAGAGGUAACCAAGUUGAAGCAGCACCUGGCUAGUAGUUAUCCCGACGUAUCUAUAUGCCAACAUGCCUAAAAGAGGGCCAACAGCUGAUGAAGAAGCACUUUGCCGAUUUUUAAAUAGCAAAAGAGAGGGUGGCCAAAAAGAAGGCGAAGAUAGACAGUCGAGCAGCAAAGCUACCUUCAUAUCACUCCAAAAAGUCAGAGGCCUCCGCUCCAGAUGACGAAGAGGCAUAGAUCCAGACAACCAUCAAGCAAGCCUAGAUGAUCAGUAGUAGUAGGAUGAGGUAGCUAGGCAUAGAACUUGAUUUGAGCCCUCACACUACGAGUUGGGCUCUGGUUCUGCAACCAAUGGAGUAGAUCCAGAGUUCUCAAUUGUGGAGGUCGUCAGUAGAGGCAGUAGCCAUAUUGCAUCUAUGCUGAGGGCUUUUGGUAGCAAGAAAGUCUCAAGAGAGAUACCACCAUAAGCCACCAUCCAUCAUUUAGAUUCACAUGCCUUCUCCAACAAGGAUUCGAACCAACAUAGGGUUGACACCGACAAAAAGAAGAAUAUGUGGCGAGCUAUUGGAUCUUGGUUCUACUUCAACCACAUCCCUGCGAAUACGGCGAGCAAUACGUAAUAUAAGUCUGCCAUUUCGUCCAUAUAGGCUGCCAAUCCGGGUGUAGAUCCUCCAAGACUAAAGAAUAUCUAUGGUGAGCCUUUUGACAACAACAAGAAGCUACAAAAGUGGAUUACCUCAUCAGCAAGUGGCCCACAUAUGGACUGACGAUGAUGUGUGAUGGUUGAACCGGUUCUACCAAGCAGAAGAUCAUCAACUUCUUGCAUACUGUAACACGAAGACUUUCUUCCAAAAGUCAAUUGAUGCUUCCAAUCAGGUGCAUGAUGCCAUAUACAUCUUCAGAUUGAUGGAGAAGGUAAUUGAUCGGGUAGGAGAGGAGAAUGUCAUGUAGGUCAUCCUUGAUAAUUGAACAUAGUAUAAUGCCACCAGGAAGAUCUUAAUGGAACGGCAGUCACAUAUUUUCUAGACCACAUGUGCUACAUAUUGUAUCUACCUCAUGUUGAUGAAGAUUAAGAAGAUUCGUAGGAUGUAGCAGAUAGUGGAGACAACUCAGUCCAUCACCAAAUUUAUUUAUGACCACACAAAGGUCCUAUCACUAAUAAGGAGGUACGUAGGGUGAGGGAUCUUGAAACCAAAUGUGACACGGUUUGCCGCUAACUGUAUUGCACUUGAUAGCCUCAUUGAGAGAAAAACAGGCAUGUGUCAGAUAUUUGUCAGUGUCGAGUAGCAGAAAAGCAGAUUUGUGAGAGCUGACACGAAGGGAAGCCAUGAGAAGAACUUGUUGUGAGACAGAUUUUCAGGCAGCAGGCCGCGAAGAUAGUAAAGGCUAUCAAACCAUUAUACAAAGUGCUUCAGACCGUGAAUAGCAAGAGGUACCCUUAGAUGGACUUCCUAUAUCAUAUGAUGGAGAGGGCAAAGAAUUAAAUCAAAAAAGCAGAUCUGAAGCAUGCAUAAAAGUAUAUGAACAUCAUUAAGCAGUGGUGGGACUAUAAGAUAGGUAAGGACUUGCAUCUAGCAAGUAGGCAAGAAUAUUGAAAAUUUGAUUAUUGCACUUGUACAAUUUUACUAAAACAAUUACAAACUCUAUCUGCAAAUUACUAUAUAAACUCGAGAUUCCAAUAUAUCUUACCUGGGAUCGAUAUGGACAGAAAACUUCUGGCUGCCCUAAAUAAUGUGAUCUACAAAAUGGAGCCUAAUCUCGAAGUCGCAGCCCUAUGUCUACAAGAGGUAAGUUAACUUAAGUGGCAUGCAUAAGUUAACUCGUGUCUUCAACAUUAACAUAUUAUAACACAUAUUUUCACAGACGAAAAUAUUUAGGGAGGGCAUUGACAGCUUUGGAGUCUCGACAACUAUCAUAAGCAAGAAAAGCAUGAAUCCAAGUAUAUUAGAUAUCAACGAUAACUAGUACUUAACAUUUUAUGGUUAUUAAUAUAAUACUAUCUUACAUAAUUUUCUUCAAUAUUUUUGCAGCUAAAUAGUAGAUUCAUUUUGGUCAACCUUUGUCCUUAUCCACAGCAAGCAACGGGACCGUCUAACACAGAGGGACCUUAAUAAUCUCGUAUAUGUUCACUAUAAUAUGAGAUUGAGGUUAAAGUACAUUCAAGAGGAAGUACAACUGAAGUAUGCGGAUCCAAUCUAUAACGCUUUUGUUUAAGAUAAGGAUGAUCCUAUGAUCGAAUGGCUUGCAGGCCAGCAGCAGGAGCCAGAGCUUGAUAAACUAGGAUCACUUCUACAACCGGCUAGUUUCAUAGCUAGCAAAGCUAUGGUGGAUGCAGAGCAAUAGGCAGAUCGCAAUAUUCCAUGCAUGCUUUCAACUGAUCAGCCAUAGCCAUACGGGUUACUAGGAAGCCGAUCAUCAUACGACUCCACAUCCAAGAAAUCCUCCUAGAGAUAUGAUUGAGAGAUGAGGCCAUCAUGCUACCCAGUUGACUCAGUCAAGAGGGCAACAUCCAUCCUCCUAGCAUAGUCAAGUAAAGAAGGGCACCAAGGAAAAGAAAGUAGAUGCUCAAUGCAGCCUGAAAUAAAAGAAAAGGCAGUUACAGCCCAAAUGGGGAGAGUGGAAGAGUCAGAGCUUUAUCAGCCAUAUUAUCAGCCAAAGAAUACCUCUUAGAGCUAGAGCUUUAACAAGAGAUCUGAGACUGAUUAUAACCCGAGCACGUAUCUUAUGGGAUGAGUGUACAAGACUACAAUGCCGUUUGGUUAGAGAAAUGGGCUGAUGUGCCUCUUGAUUAUGCUAAUGAUCCAGAUAUCUCUAAGAAGCAUCGCCACUCAACGAGAUUCUAAAUGCCAGUAUAUAUAUUGUACUUUAGAUAUAUAUAAUUGAUUGUACUAUUGUAUGUUUUGUAUCUCACAAAUUGAUUUUAGGAUAUUUCAUAUUGCUUCUCCUCACAUGUGAUGCCAGAGUCGUUAGCUUCUUUCUUUGCAUUUUGGUUUUCGCCUAACGCUAAUGCAAAAAGCUGGGGGUAGCAAACCCAAUUGCAUAGAUUUGCCCAUUUUUGCCUGCCCAAAGUUGCAAUGUUUUAGAACAAUGCCACGGUAAUGUAGAAAAAUCAUUUAAGAUGUACAGAGGUAAUAGAAACAUCAAGAAACAUCAAAUUAGACAUAAAAUCAUUCAAAAAACCAAAAAACAAUUGAUCACUUUUCAUUAAAGAUUUAAAAAAUUGAAAAAAAUAUGGCAUGCUGGUUCGAAACUGGCACACCACUACAUACUGUGUCGGUAUAGUACCAAAUUGGUAGCCAACCGGUAAAGGUCCUGGUACCAAUUUGGCUAACCUUGGUUCGCCACCUCUACCAUUUCCUUGUUUAAAGAAAAAUGUAGGUAGACAGAACAAAGAUGCCUCACAAAUCAAUUCCAAAAAUGUAAGAAAAAUGAUCCAAAUCUUAUAGCAGCCAAUAGAGCACAUGGAGCAGCGUACUCUCUUUAUACCUCUUCACAAGUUAGCACUAACAAAAACCCACCAAAGUGGUGAUGGUACAAUCAGACAAUACAAACAAAAGAUAAGGGGCCCCAUUGAGGCUAGCAUUCCUUAAGUAAAAGCAGAAAUGCAUAAUAAAGCAUUCACGAAUUCCUUUUGGGGCCUUUUAGCAUGCAUUUGAUGGACUUCUAUUUCAUUUCAGACAAACUUUCAAGUUGCAAUCCUUGCUCCUUGUGCAUGAGCCACAAGUAAGAGCAAGUAUUUACAUCUAGCCAAAUCCACAGCCUAUUCCAUUAAAGACAAUAGAGACCUUUUUUCUUUUUCUUUUUCUUUUUCUUUUUUUCUUUAUUUCCCUUUUUUCUAGAACUAUGAUCGAAAGAACUCAACCGAAAUCAGUUUUGAGGUGGGUUCAAACCUAGUUCACUCGUACCAAACAAUCAGUGACUUUACCAACAGAAUCAGUUGGCACCUUCAUAAGAACAAAACAAAGUUAGGUCCAUUCACCACAAGGAUAUUGAAAUUUAUGGAAGAUGUAUACAACUUUUUUGGAAUCUCUUUACUUGGCGAAAGAGGAUAACAACAGGCCUUAAGAAUGAUGGGAUCUUCUUCAAGAAAGUCAAAAUACACUAAAAUUCUAGAAGAAUAGAAGCCCUCUUCUCUCUCUCUCUCUCCCUCUCUCUCUCAUUCUCAUAUGAAGCCUUGUAAGUUAAAGCCUAUAGCAGAAUUUACAUCACUCCAACUGCUUAGAAUAAACAUUUCAACCUUGUAAGUUAAACCCAAUAGCAGCCCUUACAUCAACUCAUGAUCCAACUGCUUAGAAUAAACAUGCAUAAGUGACCAAGUAAAAGGAGAGGUAAGGGGAUUUCAGCAUUCAUGUGGAAUAAUGCAACAAUCUCCCACUUGAAAACAAAUUUCCAACUAUCAAUUACUCAAUUAUCAUUCUUCAUGCAUUAUUUUACAUUCACCUAUGCUAUGUUUCUAUUAAUAAGAAAGCCUCCUGCACAUGUAAUUCUUUUUAGCACGAAAAAACUUUUUGUCAACAUAAGGUUUUUCUUAGCUCGAAACUUGACUGCUUACACGUGACAGCAUUCCAAAUCUAAUUGAAUAAAGGGAUAUUAGAUAUCUAUAUGCUUUUAGAGUGAUAAGCUGCAUUGAUGGUUUUUGCUUUAGCAAACACAAUGCACACAAUGCUUCUUUAGUCCACUCCAAGCUGACCAAGAGAUAUCCUUAUGCAAACCAUCUCAUUUUCUGCUUCCAUCAAUGCAAAUAUGCUGUUCUUCUAUAGAUGAUAAGCCGGCUAUGUCUUGAAACUUUCUCAUAAAGCUAACUGCAGCAGCACAAAUUAUUAAAAUAUACCCAGUAGUGGAGUGUGGUUCUUUGCAACCAGUAUUGCAUCAACAAAACCACAACCUCCAACAAAAAACCUCCAAAUAACAAGCAUAAACUCAGUGUCCCCUUCAAAUACUGGAUUCAUUUCACUCUAUGCUGAUGUUCUUGUCCUAGAUCACCCUUUCAUCUUGAAACAACUCAAACUGCAUAUGUUUGAUCUUGUACAAAUUGUGUCAUACAUCAAGCUACCACAGUAGAAAUAUAGGGAACAUUCCUCAUUCCGUUUUUGAGGGGAGGGAACAUUCCUCAUUUCUUUCUUCAAAUCUCACCCUUUGGAGAAUUUCUUCUGGACAAUUGAAGUUUCUGAGUAAUGCUGAAUAGGAUUAUACUUAUGCAUGCCAAAACUUUCAAGAAUUUCAGAUGUGCACUCAGACUGAAAUGCUGAAUAGGAUUAUACUUAUGCAUGCCAAAACUUUCAAGAAUUUCAGAUGUGCACUCAGACUGAGACCAAACCAUGCUUGCUACCUCUUUGAAUGUGUAUGCUAAAAACCUUCUUAGCUGUUUUUUUUUCCCGUAAACAAACUGGGUCCAACAUUUGCAGCAAAAGUGCUUAGACAUAUCAAUCUUUAGAUACUUGUUAUCUUUUAGAUCAUUGUUGACAGUGAACAUAUCACCUACAUAAAGCAGUAAAGCAAUGAACGUAUCAUAUGACCCUUAAAAAAAAUACAAUGCUUAAAUUCAGUGAUGCAGAUGGAGGACCCCAUACUUGCAGCAUUCCAACCUGGGGUGAUAUUGGAACUAAGAAGGAUUUAUAUAUAUGCAGAAAGAGGUCUUCUAGAGGUCACAUGUUAGCAAAAGUUCAACGAAACUCAAGAGAAUCGCAUGGCUACAGUGAAACCUAUGUUUAAAAAAGUUUGAAGGCCAGUUCCUUGGAUCCGUGCUAAGAUCUACUAGCAUCAUGGGAUACACCAAACGAUCACCAUACAAGGUGAUACUUGACUUGCAGAUGCCUAAUAAACUUAAAAUCCAAUUUUUGUAUUAAGCCAAAUUGAGAAGAGCAAUCCAAUGCAUAUCAGUCCAAGAGAACUUUGCCAAUACGAUAAAAUUCCCGUAUGAGAUCACUUCCAUUGCAUGCAAUAUCAAGUUAGCUUUCCAUCACAACUUGAAUCAUCUAAAACAAAGGUCAGGUGAGAGAGGUCUAGACAAUUUAUCGAAGACAUGUCAAUGCUGACGAAGGUCCAGAUAUAUAAGAAAAUGCCAUUCCACAAUUAAGAAUGAUUUUUCCUUUACUUUUACCAAAGUUUCCUUGUUUUUUACUUCCACAAAGUCAUAUUAGAUGAGUUAGAAGCCCAAAGAGCUUAGAAAAUUAUUUUACCUCUAUAAGUGGAUAUUAUCUCUUUAUUUUUAAGGCAAACUGUAUUAAACGAGAAUUACGCCAUUGGAUUUAGAAAAUCUCUCCUCUAAAAAAGCCCAAUUGUAUUCAAUUUUCAAUAAAACACAGCAAAUUAAGUAAAGUUUUUUUUGAGAUUCAUCUCAAUUCUUGUGUGGUGUGAGGUUGCACAAGAGCCCAUGCUAUGAGGCCAUGGUUGAAGAGAGCAUACUGGUGAGAGGCCUAGAAUAUUCUAUCGGGUCCUUUUAAAGACCAAAGAUGCGAGGCUGAAGGUUCAAGUGUCCAACAACAAAGGUGUGAGGCUUUCUAGUUAUCCCUUUAAUCUUAGUUUCUCUUUUAGUUCCAGUUUUCUCUUCAAAUUUUACCUUUUAGUUAUUUUCUAGUUCUUUUCCUAAUAAUUCAUGCUUUUAGUUUAAUCUUAUUUACUUCUAGUUACUAUUUUGGUUUUAGUUCUUGCUUUUUGAUGUGCUACUUUGAUCUAGUGGAGGCUAAGGAUACCCAUUGGGUUCCUUGCAUCGUUCCCAUUUAGCAUACUACAUGAAACGAUCUAUUUUUUCUAGUUUAGGAUUUAUAAAUAACGUCAAAAAAAGUUGAUUUUCAACUUGGACUCCAAAUCUGAUUUCACAAAUUUCAUAACAAAGCAAAUUCUUUCUUGCUUAAGUUAGAAUUUCUAGAUCUUUUCAAAUUAUUAUUUAAUUCCUAUUUGCUUUAGAAUACCUAGUUUGACUUGGGGCUCCUAGUUGAAGUAGGAUUCCCAAUUGAAUUAGGACUCAUCACCAUUUUCAAAAAAACUAAAAAUAAAAAUGAUUAUUUUGAAAUACAAUUUGCUUUCCAAGUCCUGCUUAGUUUCGAAUUCCUAGUUGCUUUUGAGAUCUGCUUAAUUUCUUGCUUGAGUUGUGAGUGUGUUAGAAAUUCACUUAUUUCAUCAAGGUGGUUUGAGGGCUUGUUCGGGUUCCCUAGGGUUAUCUCAGCAGCAUUUGCAUCCUAGCUUGUCAAUCACUCACAGACAUUCCACACCCCAUACACACAACCUAAAAUAGGUCCAGCCUACUAACAUGGCUAAAGCUUCAAUUGCCGGCGGCAUCUUGUUUCCAUGGGCCAUCAACUAAUUGCAACAGGUCAAUGCAUGCAUCUCUAAGCAAAUCACAUCAAAUGGCAACCAACAUACUGUAAGAUUCAGAUUGGACAACUUGUUUAUUUUUAGAAGCUAGUCGACAUUAGACCACUGUCGGCAACCAUUGCAGAUCUUGAAGCAAGCUAUAGCCGAUGGCAACUAGCCACCAUCAGAUCCCAAGCAACAACAUCCCUUCUACCAUUAGUUAGCUUUUGUGUAGACACCUAUGCAACGGAAGCUUAUUAAGGCCGAAAAUCAAAAUAAGCAACUAGAAAGUAUUGUAACAAGGUCUGUCGUGCCAGUAUAGGAGCCCGUACCGAUCGGCCGGUGGCACAGUUUGGUACGCCCCCAUGUCAUUCUGUGUCGGGCCCGUACCGACAUAGCAGAAAAGGGCACGAGAGCAGAAGAGGGAGAACAAAAGAGAGGAAAAAAGAGAGAAGGGGAGGAAAGGAGAGGCAGGAAGCGCCGCCAGAGACCUUCGGAGGGUGCCAGAGGGGCGUCGAAGGGCGCCGGAGAGCCAGAGCAGAGGCUCCACCCUCCACUUAAAAAUCGCUUGCUGACUUCACUUAAAAAUCGCAAAAUUUUUUAAGGUCAUGGCCGGACCCCUGUUUCGUUCGAAAUAGAGGAACCGGCCGCGGCCUCAUUUCUUGCGGCCUCGAUCGACCUCCGCCAGUCCUUCGCCGGCAUCUGUUAGCCCUCCGCCAGCCGCCCUUCCUCUCCCUCCCUCUCUCCCUUCUCUCUUUCUCUUUUCCUCUCUCCCACGAUCUGCAUGUCAUCUCCUCCGUCGGUAUAAGCCUAGCACGGCCCAUACUGACUCGUGCCACCGAAGAAAUGGUAGGUACCCGGUACCAGUUUUACCGACCUUGCCGCCAGUACUAGUACCAUAUACCAUGCCCUUUUGAUUGAAAAAUGGUAUAAGGUAUGUUACCAGUAUUCAAAGUCUAUGAUGGUGGGAUAACAGCAAGUUGUAACAAGCCUGAAAAAGUACUCUUCAGAUUACCCAAGGUCAUUAGGGCUUUAUGUUUGGAUAGAAUAAGGGAGUCUUUAAUGGGGAUCAAAGAAAAGGUUAAACCCAAAGGGAAACAACGCAAAUCUGCAAAGUGGCUGGUAUUGGCUGUUUCUGGACCAGAUCAAGCCUAUUUUUAGGUAUAUAGACAGGCCAACAACCAAGAUCUACCAUGCCGGUAUCGGAGCCCAUACCAGUCAGCCAGCGGCAUGGUUCAGUACACCCCGGUGUGGUCCAUGUCGGGCCCGUACCGACACGGCAGAGAGGAGGGAGCGGGAGAGGGAGAAGAAAAGAGAGAAAAAGAGAGGGAGGGAAGGAGAGGAAGAGGGAGGGAAGGUUGCUGAAGGGCGCCAGAGGACACCGGAGGAGCCCCGAAGGGCCAGAGCAGGGGCUCUACCCUCCGGACCCCUACUUCGUUCGAAGUAGGGGUUUGUUGGGAAUUCUUUUUAUUUUGAAAAUUUGAAGUGAAGUUGGCAAGGAAUUUGCCGACUUUACCUAAAAUUUGGGUUUUUUUAUUUUGAAAAUUUUAAGUGAAGUUGCCAAACCUCUUGCCGACUUCACUUAAAAUUUUUAAAAUAAAAAAGGAGGUUGGCAAACCUCUUGCAGACUUCACUUAAAAUUUUUAAAAUAAAAAAGAAACCCUGACAAACCCUUAUUUCGAACGAAACAGGAGUUCAGAGGGCGGAGCUCCUGCUCUGGCCCUUCAGGGCCACUUUAGCGCCCUUCGAAAGCCUCCAGAGGCCUCGGGCGGCCCUCCCUCCCUCUCCCUCUCCCUUCCUCCCCUCCUCUCUCUCUUUUACUCUCUUUCCUUCUCCCUCUCUCCUCACCCGCUGGUUUUCCAUUUUGAAUGCCGGUACCAUCUCAGUCCGCCGCCGGCAUGGCUCAAUAUGCCCCAAACCGGGCGGUCAAAACAGUUCUGUUGAAGGGAGAAUUUCCCGAGUUGUCCAAUAAAAUCGGACGCCAGGCAUGAAAAAUUAAUUUUAAAAUUUUUAUUUAUAAUAAUUAUAAGUAUUAAACAUACUAAUAUGUAAAACAUACCUCGAUCCUGCAGCGGAAGUUGGAUAAGGUAUGCCGGAUAUGGAUCUGGAUCCCUGAAGGUAGCUCUGCGAGGCCUGGAUCUGCAGGCCCUCUACUUCGCACACACGUCGAGCUUCAUAGGAAGGUAGGAGGACUUUGAUAUUCGUGCAAAACACCUUUUGCAAAAGGGACCCUAGAAGAAAAGAAAUUCCCUUUUCUUUUCUUCUCUUUCUUUUCCUUUUCCCUAACAGCAAAUCACUGUUUUCUUUUCUCUCCCGUUUCUUCAAGGCACGCCCGAGAGCAGUGACGCCUGAGUUUGAUCCCAAUCACAGAGGAAGAGGGAAGGCAGGAGAGAACGCCGGAUCUAGGCCGGACUCCAUACCACCAGAGAGAGANNNNNNNNNNNNNNNNNNNNCACGCCCGAGAGCAGUGACGCCUGAGUUUGAUCCCAAUCACAGAGGAAGAGGGAAGGCAGGAGAGAACGCCGGAUCUAGGCCGGACUCCAUACCACCAGAGAGAGAGAACAUCUUCCUCUCUCUUCUUCUUCACUGAAUCAAGACUACCUCUCUCUGUCUGACGUUUUCAUCCCAAAGAAAAAAAAUUCUCUCUUCUUCUUCUUUGAGGAAACCGUGGCCUACAAAUAGGCCAAUGCGAAGAGGAGUUAAGAGGCGUAAAUGGCCGAGCGUUAUUGUAUUCAUUCAUUAUCUAAUAUGAAUGAAUUUCAUAACGUUUGUUUCAAAAACAACCGUGGGGGAAAAAGAGCGAUUAAUGCUGAUAACUGCCGUAUUUCAAAAAUCAAAUUGAACUGUAAUGUAGCCGGUUCAAAACCGGACAUUCCAGUCCAAACGGCAAUCCAAAUGGAGUCCGAAUGGAGACAUGGGGUGGCUUUGAAGCAUCAGCGAAAAGUCCUCUGUUUUCUCCCUGGGUUUCUCUCAUCACGGCUCACAAGACACUUNNNNNNNNNNNNNNNNNNNNNNNNNNNNNNNNNNNNNNCUUAAGGGUCCAUGGGUUAUUUAAAUUGGAAUUGGGUCAGCAGUUCAAUCAAUUGGGUUAGCCUAUUUGGUUCUAAACCAAAUUGAUGGCCAAAUUGAAUGAUUUUUGACCAAAAAAAAUUCCACCUGAGUCCGACUCAUGGGAGGUUCAAUUUGGUCCAGUCUCGGCUCGAUCCAAGUCCGACUUAGAUCAAAACAAAUACAAAAUUAAAUCUCAAUUAAAUCAUGAUCGAGCCCAAUUACUCUAAUUGAGACCCAAUCAAACCCAAUCUCAACAAUUGAGUCUUGAUCAAGUUCCAUUACAUUAAAUGAAACUUGAUUGAUCCUGAAUACAGACUUAAUUAGUUGUUCAUCCAUGAAAUUUAGCAUGUACCUCAUGUUCAGUGCUAGCUGAACAUAGACAAAACCAAAUUCCAAAUGAACCACAAUUUAAUUCUUAAUUAAAUUGGAUCAAGACCUUCCUACUUAGCUUGACUAAUAUGCUGCUCCGAUAGGUUCGAACACUAAGCCGGUAGUACAUGGACUACUCUAUACACUAAUCGAGGUAACCAUCUAGCAAUGAUACCCGACGUCCGGAUAGGUCGAAUAUGCAAAACAACAUUUAANNNNNNNNNNNNNNNNNNNNNNNNNNNNNNNNNNNNNNNNNNNNNNNNNNNNNNNNNNNNNNNNNNNNNNNNNNNNNNNNNNNNNNNNNNNNNNNNNNNNNNNNNNNNNNNNNNNNNNNNNNNNNNNNNNNNNNNNNNNNNNNNNNNNNNNNNNNNNNNNNNNNNNNNNNNNNNNNNNNNNNNNNNNNNNNNNNNNNNNNNNNNNNNNNNNNNNNNNNNNNNNNNNNNNNNNNNNNNNNNNNNNNNNNNNNNNNNNNNNNNNNNNNNNNNNNNNNNNNNNNNNNNNNNNNNNNNNNNNNNNNNNNNNNNNNNNNNNNNNNNNNNNNNNNNNNNNNNUUUUUUAUAAUUAAAAAAUUGGCUUUGGGACACAAUUUCCAACUCCCACUUGGACUAAAGCUAAUUUGUACAGUAUCUUAUAUCCAUCUUCGAUUUGUGAUAAUCGAACUCCUUUACAGAAAGGGCUUUAGUGAAUGGGUCAGCUAGGUUUUCCUUUCCAUCGAUCUUCUGAAGAUUGACGUCACCUCAUUCUACGAUCUCUCGUACAAGGUGGUAGCAACGCAGAAUGUGCUUGGUCCUGUGGUGAGACUUUGGCUCCUUCGCUUGUGCAAUGGCUCCAAUGUUGUCACAAUACAAAAGAACUGGACCAUUGAUUGAGGGAGCAACACCAAGUUGAUUUACAAACUUCUUGAUCCAAACAGCUUUCUUUGCCGCAUCUGAUGCGGCAACAUAUUCUGCUUCGCAUACGGAAUCGGCUACUGAAUGCUGCUUAGAACUGUUCCAGCAGACUGCUCCUCCCUUCAGGGUAAACACAAAUCCUGACAUACUCUUACUGUCAUUAUGAUCUGACUGAAAACUGGAGUCUGUAAACCCCACAAGUUUUAAGUCAGAUUCUCCAUAGAUUAACCAUUGGUCCUUAGUAUUUCUCAAAUACUUAAGGAUAGUUUUCACCACCUUCCAAUGGUUCUCAUCCGGAUCAGACUAAUACCUACUCACUACUGCUAAUGAGUAAGCAACAUCCGGUCUCGUACAUGUCAUGGUGUACAUGAUAGAUCCCACUGCAGAAGCAUAUGGGAUUCUACUCAUACGCUCUCUCUCUUCGGAAGUUAUCGGACAAUCUUUCUUAGAGAGAGAAAUUUCUUGGCCUAUCGGAAGAUAGCCCUUCUUGGAAUUCUCCAUGUUGAACCGCUUCAAUAUAGUAUCGGUGUAUGUGGUUUGGGACAAUCCUAGUAACCUUUUAGAUCUAUCUCUAUAGAUCUUCAUCCCUAUGAUGUAAGAUGCUUCUCCCAGAUCGUUCAUAGAGAACUGUGAUGACAGCCAGAGUUUCAUAUUUUGUAAUGCAGGAAUGUCAUUCCCAAUUAAGAGAAUGCCAUCCACAUACAAGACAAGGAAUGGGAUCACUGAACCGUUAGCCCACUUGUAGAUACAAGGUUCUUCUUCGUCCUUAACGAAGCCAUACGUUUUGAUAGUUUUAUCGAAACGUAUGUUCCAACUUCGAGAAGCUUGCUUAAGUCCAUAAAUAGACUUUUGUAGCUUACAUACUUUAGACUCGUCUGUGGAUGUAAAACCCUCAGGUUGUAUCAUAUGCACCUCUUCUUCCAGCUCUCCAUUUAGAAAAGCUGUUUUCACAUCCAUUUGCCAGAUUUCAUAAUCCAUAUAUGCCGCUAUAGCAAGCAUGAUCCGAAUAGAUUUUAGCAUUGCCACAGGGAAAAAAAUCUCGUCAUAGUCGAUACCAUAACGUUGACGAUACCCCUUGGCAACCAGACGGGCUUUAUAAGUCUCCACCUUUUCGUCUGCACCUCUCUUUCUUUUGAAGAUCCAUUUGCACCCUAUGGGUUUUAUCCCUUCGGGUGGAUCAACUAGUGUUCAUACACUAUUGAUUUCCAUGGAUUCCAUUUCGGAUCUCAUGGCGUUAAGCCAUAACUCAGAGUCGGACCUCUACAUAGCAUCCAUAUAGGUGAUCGGAUCCUCAUUGUUCUCAUCGAGCUCAAUGGGAUCCGCAUCUUGGAAGAAACCAUAGUAUCUGUCCACUUGACGCGGUACUCUACCUGAUCGCCUUAAUGGUGCUUCUACAUUGGGCUCCGGGUUUGAUCUAAUCGAAUCCGGUUCUGUGGGUUCAGUAGAUUGUAUUAAAUCUUCCACCUGCUGAACUUCACUAAGUUCAACCUUAGAGUCAACAAUUCCUUUACUAAGGAAUUCCUUUUCCAAAAAGGUUGCCUUAAGUCCUACGAACACCUUUUAUUCAUUAGGAAGGUAGAAGUAAUAACCCCUAGUUUCCUUGGGGUACCCUACAAAAUAACACUUAUCGGACCUAGGACCAAGUUUGUCAGUUUGAGAACGUUUAACAUAAGCCGGACAUCCCCAAACCCUAAGGUAUGAAAGUGUCGGCUUACGCCCAGUCCAUAUCUCAUAUAGAGUCUUCUCAACAGACUUACUUAAAAUCUUAUUUAGUAUUAUACACGCAGACUCUAAAGCAUAACCCCAAAAGGAAAGAGGCAAACUAGUAAACCCCAUCAUGGAUCGAACCAUGUCUAACAGAGUUUGAUUCCUCCUUUCAAAUACACCAUUGUGCUGAGGUGCUCCUGAAGGGGUCCAUUGUGAGAGAAUCCUAUUCUCCUCUAGAUAAGUCAAGAAAUCACCGAAAAAGUAUUCUCCUCCUCGGUCUGACCGAAGGAUCUAAAUACUCUUUCCAGUCUGUUUUUCUACUUCAUUACAAAAUCGUUUGAACAUUUCAAAUAAAUUCCGACUUAUACUUCAUCAGAUAGACAUAUCCAUACCUGGAUAGAUCAUCUGUGAAGGUUAUGAAGUAGGCAUAACCAUCUUUGGCACUUAUAUUCAUAGGUCCACAUACGUCAGUAUGUAUGAAGCCAAGAACAUUGCUGGCUCGUUCACCCUUUCCAGAAAAAGGUGACUUGAUCAUCUUACCCAGAAGACAGGAUUCACAAGUUGACAACGAUUCACAAUCAUUGAUUUCUAAAAUGCCCUAUUGGGCUAACCUGUUUAUCCUGUUUUUAUUUAUGUGACCUAGUCGGCAAUGCCAUAAAUAGGCUUCAUUGACAUUAGCUAACUUAGGACGUUUAUUAGAAGUGUACAUUACAUUCACAGGCAGUGAUAGAGUAUAAAUGUCAUGUGUCAAUUGUCCACAAAAAAUUUUAAUACCAUUCAAAAUGAUAUCACAAAAAUUUUCUUUUAUUGAUAAACAAUAACCAUUUUUGGCCAAAAGGCCUACAGAGAUGAUAUUCAUCAAAAAUGCUGGACAAUAAUGACAAUCAUCUAAUAUGACUACUCUAGAUUCAAAAACAAGCUUAAUGACUCCUAAAGCUAGGACUGGAACUGAUCUUCCAUCUCCAACCUUCAGGAAUCUUUCGCCAUUCAUGAAUCUUCUACUAACUUGAAAUUCCUAUAACGAAUUGCAAAUAUUAAUUGGACUUCCGGUAUCUAAUACCCAAGCAGUAGAAUCAUAAACAGAAAAAUUACAAGGUGUUAUCAUAUAAUUACUUUAUGCAGCAACUGUUUGCUGCUUUUUCUUCCUAAGCCUGUUUGGAUCAAGGGACGCUAUGUAAGCCGAACAGUUCCGCUUCCAAUGACCCAUCUUUUUACAGAAGAAGCACUCUGCCUUGCUCUUAUCGGCUUUAUGCUUCUUAGUCUGGCUGGGCUUAGAGACCCCAGCACGAGCUUCCUGCACCUUCUUCUUCUUUCCUUUCUUAAAGGAAGAAAGUCCUGCAGAAGUCCCACCUACCACAUUCACUGACUCCUUUUUGAGUUGGUGAUCCUUCUCAUAGGUCUGCAGUAAACCUAGCAAACCAUGAUAGGAUACUUCAAGUUUAGUCAUUCUAUAAUGACUAAGGAAGGUCAGGUAAGACUUGGGAAGUGAGUUCAAAAUGGCAUCCUUUCCCAAUUGCUCGUGCAAAGGAAAGCCAAGUUUACUCAAGCGAUCGAUUUGUUCAACCAUGUAUAAUACAUGAUCGGUCACCGAUGCCCCUUCCCUCAUGCAGGCAUUGAAUAUAGCGCAAGAGGUCUUAUGUCGUUCGACAUCAUCAGGUGUGCCGAAAGACUCCUUCAACAUUUGAAGGAUUUUCACUGGCUGCGCUUCCUCGAAUUUACGACUAAACUCGUCAUUCAUCGAGGCCCUCAUGAUGCAGCGCACUGUAGUACGAUCGUUGAGCCACUUCUGAUAAGCAUCUCUGAUUGCACGUGGUGCAUUGGCUGCACGUUCCUCAGGUGCAGGAUCCGAUAUCACAUACAAGAUCCGUUCAUACUCUAAUACUAUUUUCAACUUUCGAUACCAGCUAUCGAAGUUAGGUCCAUUAAGCUUAUCAUUGUCUAAUAGUGUUCGGAGGGACAAUGAGUUAGCCAUAUCUGAAAAAUAAAGAAAAAACCCAACUAAUCAGUAUAUGAUUUAUUUAAUCCUAAAGACUUGGACUUUAGUCUAAAGUUUUCUCCCACUAUGUUAAUCGAAUUAAUAGCCUCUACCUUUAACUCGAGGAAUUACUUUAAUUCCCUAGUGGGUACUAAAAUCCGCAUAGACUGCAUACGGGCCCGAGGAAGGCUCGGCCAACCCAUGUGCAUCUAAGAGUAGGUACAUUACCAAUUGUUUCUCUAAACAAUUUCUAGUAAUCAAUUUUGCCCCAGGUGGUAAUCAGUAGGCGAAGGCCUUCACUAAAAAUCCUGGUUAGGUCCAACCAUUAAUGAACUAACUCGAUGACACUACCUAAUGUAUGAUCAGGCCCGAGGAAGACUCGGCCAACCUAAUCACAAUUAGAUAGCUCAAAAAGCUAUCAUAUAAUGAAGGAUAAUUCUAGUAUUCAGAGGAACACUAGACGGAAGUGUCCUGCAUGUUCAACUGUAAUAUUGGACCCAUUAUCAUUCACCUUAAUGGAAGGCUAUGAUCUAGUUAUCUAUAUAACUUUAUCAUUUUAAGGACCUAAUAAUUUAGAGAAUUUUAAUUGAUGUGACGUUGACCGAUAAUUCUAAAUCCUCCCACUGACUUCACCAAGUCAUACAAAGGACUAGCUCUUAUUGGUCUAUUAAACACCUAAAUCAGUCACACUGAUUUUUCUUAAUGGCGUGGGUGAGUGCCAAGUCUCAAGGUACCUUAAUCAAAACUUGAUCGACCAAAUUAGCCAGGUAAGAGAGAUCAUGGGAGGGUUACGCCAUUAACCUCUUUUCUAGACACCAACUAUGUUGGCCAGGUAAGAGGUAGCCCCAAUUAAAAACCAUGAUCAAAUGCCGACUUAUCUUAGACACCAAUUGAUUUAUCAAGUUGAUUUAGGUUAUCCUUGGGAACUCGGGCUCGACCACUGAGCCACAAUCAGAUCCAAUUGAAAUGUUUGGAUAUGAUAAACUACAACUACUGAGUGUGAUCAUUUUAUAAACCUUGAUUUAGUCUAGUUCAACUAUUGAUUAGAUUAAAUCAUGUUUCUUAAGUUAGUUCAUUUCAAUUUGAUUUCAUGAUUAGGUCUAACCUAGUCAACUAAUCUGAUUGUGCUAACCCAUGCCCCAAAUCCCAUGUUCAAAUUUAAAUUUUAAUUCAAAUUUCAAAUUUUGAAUUUUAAAUCUUUAAUUGAAAUUCAAAUUUUAAAUUUUAAAUUCAACAUUUAAUUCUUAAUUAAAUGUAUUAUGAUCAUGGAUUCAAGGUGUCAAUUUAUUCCAAAUACAAACAAUUUAUAUUUAAAUUUUGUGGUCAUAAUAAAUUUAAAACUGAAAUUUUAUAAACAUCUGCAUAAUUUCACAAAAAUAAACUAUUUAUUUUAUGAUACAAAUUAAUCUCAAUCUUGUGCUAGGACAACCUUUUCACUAUAAGGGGUUAAUCUUAUAGCAGGACAACUUUAUAAUUCAGCACAAGAUUGAUAUUUUAUCAUUAAAUCUAGAUCUAAUCUAAAUUUAAAAAUUAAAUCAUGCAUAAUUCUAGAUAUUAUAGACCCAUUCCAUCAGCCAACCUGGCUCUGAUACCAGUUGAAGGGAGAAUUUCCCGAGUUGUCUGAUAAAAUCGGACGCCAGGCAUGAAAAAUCAGUUUUAAAAUUUUUAUUUAUAACAAUUAUAAAUAUUAAACAUACUAAUAUGUAAAACAUACCUCGAUCCCGUAGCAGAAGUUGGAUGAGGUAUGCCGGAUCUGGAUCUGAAUCCCUGAAGGUAGCUCUGCGAGGCCUGGAUCUGCAGGUCCUCUACUUCGCACGCACGUCGAGCUUCGUAGGAAGGUAGGAUGACUUUGAUAUUCGUGCAAAACAUCUUUUGCAAAAGGGACCCUAGAAGAAAAGAAAUUCCCUUUUCUUUUCUUCUCUUUCUUUUCCUUUUCCCUAACAGCAAUCACUAUUUUCUUUUCUCUCCCGUUUCUUCACGGCACGCCCGAGAGCAGUAACGCCUGAGUUUGAUCCUGAUCACAGAGGAAGAGGGAAGGCAGGAGAGAACGCCGGAUCUGAGCCGGACUCCAUACCACCAGAGAGAGAGAACUUCUUCCUCUCUCUUCUUCUUCUUCGCUAAAUCAAGACUACCUCUCUCUGUCUGAUGUUUUCUUCCCAAGAAAAAAAAUUCUCUUCUUCUUCUUCUUUGAGGAAACGGUGGCCUACAAAUAGGCCAAUGCCGAGAGGAGUUAAGAGGCGUAAAUGGCCGAGCAUUAUUGUAUUCAUUCGUUAUCUAAUAUGAAUGAAUUUCAUAACGUUUGUUUCAAAAACAACCAUGGGAAAAAAACAGCGAUUAAUGCCGAUAACUGCCGUAUUUCAAAAAUCAAAUUGAACUGGAAUGUAGCCGGUUCAAAACUGAACAUUCCAGUCCAAACGGCAAUCCAAAUGGAGUCCGGAUGGCGACAUGGCGUGGUUUUGAAGCAUCGGCGGAAAAUUCUCUGUUUUCUCCCAGGGUUUCUCUCAUCGCGGUUCACAGGACACUUCUUAAGGGUCCAUAGCUUUUAUCCAUUGCGGUUCAUAGGGGACGCUUAAGGUCCAUGGGAGCUUAAGGGUCCACAGGUCCAUGGGUUAUUUAAAUUGGGAUCGGGUCAGCAGUUCAAUCAAUUGGGUUAGCCUACUUGGUUCUAAACCAAAUUGAUGGCCCAAUUGAAUGAUUUUUGACCAAAAAAAAUUCCACAUGAGUCCGACUCAUGGGAGGUUCAAUUGGGUCCAGUCUCGGCUCGAUCCAAGUCCGACUUAGAUCAAAAUAAAUACGAAAUUAAAUCCCAAUUAAAUCAUGAUCGAGCUCAAUUACUCUAAUUAAGACCCAAUCAAACCCAAUCUCAACAAUUGAGUCCUGAUCAAGUUCCAUUACAUUAAAUGAAACUUGAUUGAUCCUAAAUACAGACUUAAUUAGUUGUUCAUCCAUGAAAUUUAGCAUGUACCUCAUGUUCAGUGCUAGCUGAACAUAGACAGAACCAAAUUCCAAAUGACCCAUAAUUUAAUUCUUAAUUAAAUUGGGUCAAGACCUUCCUACUUAGCUCGACUAAUGUGCGUGACCCCGAUAGGUUCGAACACUAAGCCGAUAGUACAUGGACUACUUCAUGCACUAAUCGAGGUGACCAUCUAGCAAUGUACCCGACGUCCGGAUAAGUCGAAUAUGCAAAGCAACAUUCAANNNNNNNNNNNNNNNNNNNNNNNNNNNNNNNNNNNNNNNNNNNNNNNNNNNNNNNNNNNNNNNNNNNNNNNNNNNNNNNNNNNNNNNNNNNNNNNNNNNNNNNNNNNNNNNNNNNNNNNNNNNNNNNNNNNNNNNNNNNNNNNNNNNNNNNNNNNNNNNNNNNNNUCCAAGGUUUUACUUAAUCGAAAUACAACGAGACAUCAACUCCUAUAAUCUGAAGCGGUCAAUCCCAUCUUGACUCAUACACAGACUUCGCGAGUACUUGACUGCACCCAGCAUCCUUCCGAUCCCUGAAUUAGAAAUUCAGGUCGUCCAGUGCCUAAGUACAUUGAGUUGCUUUCAAGUCACCGUGACAGUCUCAGGUCUAAGGGGUACUUAUGCCCAUACGCUUUGCUAGCUAACUCCUGAGAGUGGAGUGCUACGCAGGUGAGUCACUGUUUAGUGACGAUGUACUCCUACAUCUCACCUGUAUGCCAUACAGUGUCUCCACACUUCUUGGUUUAAGAGGACAACCAACUAAAUAGCACACAACGACCUAUACUUGACUAGCUAUCGUCUAAUUGACAGCUCAUCAUUUGGUCGCGAACUGGUUUAAGAACUAAAUGAUAAAACCUCCUUUAUCCACUAAAUUAGUCCUAAGGACUUCAUCACAAUACACAGGAGUUCAAUUUGAAGAUGUAACACUUGUGAUGAAUAGAAAAAUGCCAGAAUAAAUUUUUAUUCAUUUUAAUAAAACAUAUACAUACACCAAUUUCUUACAAUUAAAAAAUUGGCUUUGGGACACAAUUCCCAACAAGUUCCGCAUCCUUGCCAACAGCAACCUGGUGAAGACAACUGCCAUUAACAACACAACCAGUGGUUGUUUGCAAUAAGAGAUGUUAACAACCUGAGGUUAGGGUUUUGGACAUCUAGAUGAAUGGGAAGGAAAGAAUAUUCAGCAAGAAAGGCUCAAAGAAUAAGGGGUGAAGAAAAAUAGUGAGAGCUCAGAGAAAAUACAAGUUUCUCAAACUCCUAGAGGCCUCAUGCCCACUUCGUCUUACACGAAGGAAAACAAAACAGCGAAGAAGGCAGCAUUCUUUUAUUCAUUGUAAAAUUCAUCUGAGCAAAUCUUAGGACCAGCCACUUUACGUAAGAAUAAGUGGCAAAUUUUUUUCAAAAAAAAAAAGAAAGUCCCCUACUUAAAAAAUAGUUUACAUAAAAGUCCCUAUAAAGUUUAAAACAAGUCCAAACCCUCACAACUGCUAACAUAAAACAAUACCUAAUGAUAACUAGAGACUCAAAUGACAACUAAAAGCUACUCAUCUUUCAUCCAAAGACUUUUGAUCCUUUGUCAGCGCCUUUGGUAAGUCUUGAAAAGGCUCCAUGAUCUCCAUCACAUUCCCUAUCUCCAUCUCCAAGGGUUCAGCUUCUUUCCCUUUUGAUGGUUUAUAUAGAUCCUUGGCAACAAGAUAAUUCAAAAAAGGCCCCUUCAACAAAGAAUGGAAUCUGGAUGACAAACUUCUAAUAAGUCAAUUUUUAAGAAUGAGUAUUGCAAUAUGUGCCCUCUUGAUCUCUUGUGGAAUGAAACAAGGGUUUCUUUGAUUACAAGCACAAAUACACAAUAUAGCAUCAAUUACUUUGCUUUAGGGCCUUUUUGUAUGUAUUUGAUGGAAAACUAUUUCAUUCCAUGCAAACUUGCAACCUCUAGAAACACCAACAUAAACCAUGAGACGGACACAAGGAGCAUUAGGAAGAACUAAAGCAAGCACAAAUAUCUCCAUGACACCCCUCGCCCCCUCUCCCCAAAACCAUUCCCCGCUCACCUUAAAGAAAAACAUAAAAGAAGCCGAAAGACAAUUCUUGCUCUACAGCAUAGCCAAGGCUUGAAAAAGAUUUUUGAUGAAAUCUAACUCCACCACUGAGCCACAGCAAAUCCUGGUAGGUUUAAAUAGUGCCCAGGCUAGGCAAUACUUCCAUAGAUUAAAUGUUUUAAUUAUGAUUAGAAGAGCUAAUCCUAAUUGAUCUUGUAAUAGGUCUGCCGCAAAACAGAUGCAUUUUUUUCUCAAGUGAUUCAUAUUGUCAAGUUCACCCAUUCCAAAAUUCAUUGAGAUCAAUUGAUCAGCAGCAGCCAAUAUAUCUCAUGGCAACAGAAAUAUAAACUAGCAAUGCACCCAACAGAAACAUUGCAUGAUCAUUGAUGAGAAUAAGAGGGACGUAAAUAGAACAGAAAUAAAGCUACCAACAGAACAUUUUAAUAUUCUUUAGUGGCCCUAUACCUAUAUAUUGGACUAAUUUCUUGUGAUUGAUUUAGCCAGAAAUUAUAGAAACAUAAUGUAGAGCAACAUGUCAUGAAAUCUAUUUGACAACAAAAAUUUGUCGUAUGUAUACAGAAAAGCAUAUCUCAUUUGUCUUAGAUGGUAGAAUAAUCUGCCAAGGAAAAUGUCCUAAAAAGAAAUAAAGCCUAUCACCAGAUUGAAAAUUCAAUUGAAAGAAGGGAGAAGGGUCCAAAUAUGUUCCCAUGUCUUCCAAAUCAAUGUAAACUAACUUAUUUAACAUUUAACCCAUGCAUCUCUGUAUUUAGAUUGCUCACACCAUGGGUUUAAAUCCCAUGGGACAAGGGUGUCCUAGUUUCUCCAUGGAACAGGAUGCCCCAUUGUCCUGCCCCAUCCCGGCAGCUGUCUUGAUUAUACAUCUUAGUAAAUAUCCUCCAUCUCUCUCCCCUUAUUCUUUCCUUUCUUUCUUUCUUUCUUUCUUUUUCUUCUUUCUUUCAUUCCUUUCUUUCUUUUUCUUCUUUCUUUCAUUCCUUUCUUUCUUUUUUUCUCUACCUUCCUUUCAUUCCUUUCAUUUUUCUUUUCUACCUUCCUCUCUUUCCUUUCCUUUUUCUUUCAUUUUCUUAUCCCUUUAAUUCUUUUUUCCUUUCUCUUCUUCUUUCUCAUUCCUUUCUUCCUUCUUUCCUUCCUUUUUUUUUCUUCUCCCUUCCUUUCCUUCUUUCCUUUUACUUCUUCUUCUUCUUUCCUUUCACUUUUUCCUUUUCUUCAUUUUUCCUUCCUUUCUUUUUAUUUUCUUUUUCGUCUCUCCACGUAUGGAUGGGUUUUGGAGUCCCGACACCGUCUCAGUCCCAUUUUUUCACAAGAAUGUGACGAGACGAUCAGGAUGCCAGCAUCCCGCCAGGACUUAAUGUUGGCUCACGCUACCUUGGUUCUAGAGAUGAGGAUGUCAUAAGCAAGACUAAAAAGUGCAUUAAAUGGAGACGCCUCUAGCAUCUUGUUGGAUUCGUUUGAUGCCUAAAAAAUUUUCUAACAUGGAAAUAAAACAAGGAAAACCCAUGAUCCAAAUGGGGUGGCAUCAAAUCAGCAGAACUAGGACUGUUGUUGUUUCUUCAUCACAGUUACUUUCCGGUCUAGACUUGUUCUCACAUAUAUAGUGAUAAGCAUGUGCACAAGUUAGAUGGAUUAUCAUGGUACAUAGUGGUGUUUUAAAAUACAGUGUAUGUGGCUACAUAUGCGAAUGCAAUCCCUUGAUUAAAUUUCAUUUCUUGCAUCCAACUACUAAAUGUCAUUAGACCGCAUGUAGGCCAAAAUGGUGGUCCAUUGUUAUGCAUCUCCAUGUGAAUAGGGCAAGGUGAGUUUGAUGGUUAGGUUGCAUGGGGAUUUCAAGCUAACUAGCUACAUAAUGGUUAUAACCAUGGAUUGCUAAACCAUGCCAAACCAGUCAGUCUAGGGCAUGCUGAACCAGACCAGUCAGUUACUGGCACGGUUCAGCCUCUAAAUUCGAAUUAGGCUUAUAAAUUCAUUUACCAACUCAGGUUUUCUUCUCGAUCUCUCUCUCCCAUUCGCCCACACAACACACUCAUCUCACCCUCGCCAACUAAUAGGUAAGCCCUCUAUUGGUUCGAUCACUUCAUUCAAUCUCCCCCACCUGUUCAUUCAAUCAUUCGAAACUCGAGACCUUUGAUGGGUCUCAUUCGCUUCGCCUCGUCGCCAACAC
This 42860-nucleotide long non-coding RNA is filed under the name Phoenix dactylifera (date palm). RNAcentral describes it as "long non-coding RNA (PDAC_LNC003699)". Lineage: Eukaryota; Viridiplantae; Streptophyta; Magnoliopsida; Arecales; Arecaceae. The record is from RNAcentral.